Molecule: ribosomal RNA, 399 nt
Filed under: uncultured bacterium
Lineage: Bacteria
Description: partial 16S ribosomal RNA
Rfam family: Bacterial small subunit ribosomal RNA
Source: RNAcentral
CCUACGGGAGGCAGCAGUGAGGAAUAUUGGUCAAUGGGCGCGAGCCUGAACCAGCCAAGUCGCGUGAAGGAUGACUGCCCUACGGGUUGUAAACUUCUUUUAUAAGGGGAUAAAGUCCGUCACGUAUGCCUUUUUGUAUGUACGUUAUGAAUAAAGAACGGCUAACUCCGUGCCAUCAGCCGCGGUAAUACGGAGGAUCCGGGCGUUAUCCGGAUUUAUUUGGUUUAAAGGGAGCGUAGACGGGUUGUUAAGUCAGUUGUGAAAUGUCGUGGCUCAACCGUAAAAUUGCAACUGAUACUGGCAGGCUUGAGUGCAGUAGAGGUAGGCGGAAUUCGUGGUGUAGCGGUGAAAUGCUUAGAUAUCACGAAGAACUCCGAUUGCGAAGGCAGCCUACUGAAC